AUAAGUGACUUUUAACCAAAGACCCAAUUGAAUUUAAAAAAUGAAUCUUUACUUAUAUGAUCCACUAUUUAUAUCCACACAUCAGACUCAUUAUGAAAAUCGGUUUCAAUAGUCAAUCCUUAUGCAAAGAUAAAGCUCCUUCUAAAUAAACUACUAAUAUCUCUUCAAAGCCACAACUUCACUUGCUAACAUUCUCAUUUACACUAAUUAAACUACCACCUAAUACAGACUCAAAGCAUACGAAAGCACCUAUAGUCUAUUUCCUUUAUUCAGCAGCACCACUUGUAGCUCCAAUUGGUGAAGCAAAUUCUGGCCAAAUUUAUGCAAUCUUCACCUUUGUUAUGCUUGCCAUUACACUCAAUUGAGUCACAUCUCCAACAACAGUUACUUUCUUUGCUGCAAAGUCUAUGCUUGGAUGACAACUAAUUUCAUCUUCAUAAUAUCUCCAUCCACCAAAAAUUUGAGCCAACCUAUUAAAGUAGGAAUCUUUCAACAUAAUUUGAGCCACCAACAUUCACAAAGUUUGCAAUCUAAUAAAGAUCGAACGCAUUGUGAGAUAUGAGAUAUUGGACUGCACAUUGGUUGAAACAUAUCAAUCUCUCCAAGUUCAAAACUUCAUACUUAUCCCUAAUUUAAGUUGUUGAGAACUUUUUUUUACUUAGUAUCAUAAGCAAAGAUUGAAGCAAUUAAGUACUGUAUAUUAAAGCAUUCAAAAUUACAACAAAGCAUAUCAUAUCUCUGUUUUCAAAGCCAGCCAUCUAAAGCAAGAAAGAUAAGAGUCUGACUUUUUUUUUUUCUUUCCUGGAUUGGGUUUUAUAACAGUCAUUUAAUUAUGUGAGAUAGGAUGCCAUAUGGGAAAUGAAGGGUUGGACGAAGAUGGUGUUGAGAUAGGAUAGACAAAACGCAGAGGAGAUGAAUAGAAAAGAAAAUUAGAAGACUGGUGUAUUUGAUCAAUGAGAAAAUACGCGUGGAUUAGUGAAGGAGUUAUGCAAAAAUAUAGGGUUGGAUACUCAAGACUUCCUAAAAAGUAGCAAUGAUGAUGUAGUCAUCCCUAUAAAAUAGUAAUAACCAUAAAUACCUAUCCCCCCUCCACUACAAAGUAGCAAUUAUGAUUCACCAACAUGUUCCAAAUUUAUCUGCAUACAUAAAAAAGGAAUAAAAAGUUGCUUAUAAAAAAAAUAAAAAUAAAAAGGAGUUUAGUUGCUUAAUUAGUGUGUUUCUAAUUGGACAUUACUAUCUACUUAAUAUUGUUUCACAUUAAUUUGUUUAAACACCAACUAAUAAGAUCAAAACUCUGUUUAAACACCAACUAACCAACAUAAUAUUAUGUAACCAAUAUGUGUAAUUGGGUAGAGAAUCUUAAAAAUAGUUUCUAACCUCAGUAGAUUCAAUGAGAUCCUCAAUAGUUAUCUUUGGGGUUUGUAGCAAAUCAUCGACGACACUAUGCAUCACUGGUCCGAUCAUUUGAUUAACCACUUGACUCAACUCCACAUUAGCAACAUUCAUCCUUUAUUUAAGAAAAUAGACAAUCAAGCACCAAAGAGUAGCUAAAGGAAAUUCAAGCAACCAGCAUACAUAGAGGAAUCACCUUUCUAUAUAAUCAUAUACUUCAGGAAUCUGAGCAUUCAACAACAAUUCUGAUCCAUAAAAAGAAUUUGAAAUUCACAUAGCACAUACUCAAAUGGAAACAAAAAAAAAUAAACCACCAGAGCUAGAUUUCAAACAAUAGGUGAAAAGGAAGUAUUUUCCUACCAAGGUACUUCUUAAGCUUGCAUAGUUGUAUUAUGAUUACCACAGGUAGGGAUGAAUCAUGAGUAUAUCCAAGAAUUUCUGCAUAUUUAGAGCAAAAUCAUCCCACAAAGUGCAAUGCACCCUAUUACCUUUACAGUAAGAACGAUCAAGGUGGAUAAGUAUCUGCAAAUAAUUAUGGAAUAAAGAUGCACAAAACCUUGUAACACAUAUAAACUCACUCUAAAUCUUCAAGGGUUGCAUCCAUAACAUUACUUAUCUUCCCAUUUUUCUCACUGCCUUCACUCCUUCCUCAGCCUGCCCCUUGCCUAUAUCAAAGACACAAAAUACAAUUAAAAUAUAUAACAUAAAAAAUUCUAAUUUUCAUAAAAUCAGCUGGACCAAUCAACAAUACCCUAGUUAAAAUUAACAUCAACAUAUAAUUCAUGUGUUACUUAACUUAGCAAAUCAAACAACCAAAUUUGAAAAAUCAAUUGAAAAACCCUACACAAAUUAUAUGCAUAACUCUAAGGGCAAAAAAGUUUAAUCCACAUUCCAUGAAUCAAAACAAAAUUAACAUAUAGUAAUAUGUAUAGUACUUAAUUUUUUUAAAAAAAUUGUAAAAUCAAUUGAAGAAUUAGCAUUGCACUAAAUCAUAUACAUGAUUCUAUGCACGAAAAAUAUUAAUCAACAUUGAAACUAAGAAAUGUUCUCUACUUAGGGUUGCAACCUCAAAAAAGAAUUCAUACUCAAAUCUCAACUUUAUAAGAACAAAAAAGACAUAUCAGAGGUGCAAUCAAAUAUGAUUCAAUUUUGAAUAUACCUUUAUCCUCUUUAAACUCUCAUUUGUAUUUAUCGUUACCUCAAAAUUUGCACUUUUGGUUGCUAUCUCCUACAAAACAAUAUCAACAUGUUAAUAGCCAAGCAUGCCAUCUCAAACAUAUGCCUAAAAUAUAUACACCAAGAUCAAAAAAUUAUUGAGUAAGAAAAAUAGAUUAGAAAAUUAUCUUCCCUAAAACUAUUCUUUCUUUUAAUAGGGAGCUCUCCUCUUACUUCACAAACAAACAAUGUCGUACAAAUCUAAAUCAGGCCGCAAUUGAGACAGUAAUAAAACAUAACAAAAAUAAUGUUAUAUUCAAUUUAGAUUGGAGCUAUAUAUUUUUUUUUACACCCAACCCAAUAUAUCGUUAAGUACUAAAAUUGUUCCCUGCAUAUAAGGAUGCACACCAGAUCUGCAAAAAUUAAAAAGGGUAAUCUUAAGUCCAAUAUAAGUAUAACAUAUCAUACAUAUACAAAGAAGCAAAAAAUAGACAACUCACAGCCAACUAAAAAAACCUUCUUCAAGAAAUGUGAAGAGAAGUUUAGGCCUAUUAAGUGCUUGUAGCAACAUAAAACACAAUUAGAAUAAAGAGUUUAAAGAGGAGUUAGUAUCACAAGGUGCAUGCUUUUCUGAAUUCUGUUGUAUAUGAUUGUCAUUUUACUGAAAGUUUUCUUUAUACUAAUCAUAGUUUGACCUAGAAAACAGAUACCUUUGCUCCAUAAUAUCUAUUUGAUUCUCUUUGCUUUUUCAACAAAUUCACCAAGGUUUCCGAGUUUGCAAAAGCUUGGGCACCUCCAAGUCCACCCUAUAGACAAAUUGGAAUAUAUUUACACAAACAUACACAUAGAAUAAUUACUACAAAGAAAGUUAAAAGUCCCCUUACAGGCAAUACAAUCAGGUCAUGGGAAAUUUAGCCGCUUCAUCAAGGAGUAUGUCUGCCUCCAGUUUAACUUUACGUGAUGCCUCGAUCUAUCUCAGCAAAUUAGCAAAGUAAAAUGGUUAGCAAAUAAGUUACAAAACCAAAACCGCAAAAAUUGAUUUACUUCUUAAAACCAAGCCUAUUGCAAAAGAUUCAAAAAAGCAAAUGAUGAUAGAAAAAAUUGAUCAUCUUUGGGAAAAACUCGAUGUGAAAAAUUUAUGCAUAAAUUAACAUCUCAUACCUCAAACGAUAUGAAAUAGUGCAUAGUGUCCCAUCAACCCAUUUUUGCUUUUGGAGUUUGCUCUCAGACUUAAAUUCUAGAAGACCUUGUGUAGUUUUGAGGCCAAAAUAGAGCUCUUUAGAAGCUUCCCUUUCUUUUUGAUAUGGC
This 3855-nucleotide long non-coding RNA is filed under the name Trifolium pratense (red clover). Its description in RNAcentral is "long non-coding RNA (TPRA_LNC011485)". Lineage: Eukaryota; Viridiplantae; Streptophyta; Magnoliopsida; Fabales; Fabaceae. The record is from RNAcentral.